This 529-nucleotide non-coding RNA is filed under the name Caenorhabditis remanei. RNAcentral's name for it is "Eukaryotic small subunit ribosomal RNA". It matches the Rfam family "Eukaryotic small subunit ribosomal RNA", at positions 4 to 538 of the family's 1831-position model. The record is from Rfam by way of RNAcentral. Lineage: Eukaryota; Metazoa; Nematoda; Chromadorea; Rhabditida; Rhabditidae.
CUGAUUGAUUCUGUCAGCGCGAUAUGCUCAAGUAAAAGAUUAAGCCAUGCAUGCUUUGAUUCAUCAAUGAAAUUGCGUACGGCUCAUUAGAGCAGAUAUCUCCUUGUUCGGAAUCCUAUAUGGAUAACUGCGGAAAUACUGGAGCUAAUACAUGCAACUAAACCCCAACGUAAGGCGGGGUGCAAUUAUUAGAACAGACCAAACGUUUUCGGACGUUGUUUGUUGACUCUGAAUAAAGCAGUUUACUGUCGGUUUCGAUCGACUCUAUCCGAAAAGGGUGUCUGCCCUUUCAACUAGAUGGUAGUUCAUUGGACUACCAUGGUUGUUACGGGUAACGGAGAAUAAGGGUUCGACUCCGGAGAGGGAGCCUUAGAAACGGCUACCACGUCCAAGGAAGGCAGCAGGCUUUUGUUAUUUCAUUACUUUUUUUUGAAAUAUCAAAAGAGAAGGAACAUGUGAAAUAGCUUCUACGAAUGUUUUUUGUUUGUAGUUUCUGAUUGGCUGGAUUACGUGGUUACCAGAAUUUUGC